This 445-nucleotide ribosomal RNA is filed under the name uncultured bacterium. RNAcentral describes it as "partial 16S ribosomal RNA". It matches the Rfam family "Bacterial small subunit ribosomal RNA", at positions 354 to 796 of the family's 1533-position model. The record is from RNAcentral.
GUGAGGAAUAUUGCGCAAUGGAGGCAACUCUGACGCAGCCAUGCCGCGUGCAGGAAGAAGGCGCUACGCGUUGUAAACUGCUUUUAACCGGGAAGAAACCCCAGGACGUGUCCUGGGUUGACGGUACCGGAGGAAUAAGCACCGGCUAACUUCGUGCCAGCAGCCGCGGUAAUACGAAGGGUGCAAGCGUUAUCCGGCUUCAUUGGGUUUAAAGGGUGCGUAGGCGGAGCGUUAAGUCAGUGGUGAAAUCCUGCAGCUUAACUGUAGACUUGCCAUUGAUACUGGCGCUCUUGAGUGCGCUUGAAGUGGGCGGAAUGUGCCGUGUAGCGGUGAAAUGCUUAGAUAUGGCACAGAACACCAAUUGCGAAGGCAGCUCACUAAGGCGAUACUGACGCUGAGGCACGAAAGCGUGGGGAUCGAACAGGAUUAGAAACCCGUGUAGUCC